Molecule: transfer RNA, 70 nt
Filed under: Puccinia triticina 1-1 BBBD Race 1
Lineage: Eukaryota; Fungi; Basidiomycota; Pucciniomycetes; Pucciniales; Pucciniaceae
Description: tRNA-Und (NNN) (tRNA-Und-NNN-30-1, tRNA-Und-NNN-30-2)
Rfam family: tRNA
About the family: Transfer RNA (tRNA) molecules are approximately 80 nucleotides in length. Their secondary structure includes four short double-helical elements and three loops (D, anti-codon, and T loops). Further hydrogen bonds mediate the characteristic L-shaped molecular structure. tRNAs have two regions of fundamental functional importance: the anti-codon, which is responsible for specific mRNA codon recognition, and the 3' end, to which the tRNAs corresponding amino acid is attached (by aminoacyl-tRNA synthetases). tRNAs cope with the degeneracy of the genetic code in two manners: having more than one tRNA (with a specific anti-codon) for a particular amino acid; and 'wobble' base-pairing, i.e. permitting non-standard base-pairing at the 3rd anti-codon position.
Source: Rfam by way of RNAcentral
GCAUCCUUAGUACAGUGGUUAGUACACUUGACAUGGAAAAGAGACAUGGGUUCAACUCCCAUAGGACACA